AUUGAACGCUGGCGGCAUGCUUUACACAUGCAAGUCGAACGGUAACAGGCCGCAAGGUGCUGACGAGUGGCGAACGGGUGAGUAAUGCAUCGGAACGUGCCCAGUCGUGGGGGAUAACGCAGCGAAAGCUGCGCUAAUACCGCAUACGAUCUCUGGAUGAAAGCGGGGGACCGAAAGGCCUCGCGCGAUUGGAGCGGCCGAUGUCAGAUUAGGUAGUUGGUGGGGUAAAGGCCCACCAAGCCAACGAUCUGUAGCUGGUCUGAGAGGACGACCAGCCACACUGGGACUGAGACACGGCCCAGACUCCUACGGGAGGCAGCAGUGGGGAAUUUUGGACAAUGGGCGCAAGCCUGAUCCAGCAAUGCCGCGUGCAGGAAGAAGGCCUUCGGGUUGUAAACUGCUUUUGUACGGAACGAAACGGUCCGGGUUAAUACCCUGGGCUAAUGGCGGUACCGUAAGAAUAAGCACCGGCUUACUACGUGCCAGCAGCCGCAGUAA
Molecule: ribosomal RNA, 498 nt
Filed under: uncultured bacterium
Lineage: Bacteria
Description: partial 16S ribosomal RNA
Rfam family: Bacterial small subunit ribosomal RNA
Source: RNAcentral